This 400-nucleotide ribosomal RNA is filed under the name uncultured eukaryote. RNAcentral's name for it is "bacterial SSU rRNA". It matches the Rfam family "Eukaryotic small subunit ribosomal RNA", at positions 1266 to 1672 of the family's 1831-position model. The record is from RNAcentral.
CCGUAGGAAAGGUUGGUGCAGUCGGUCCGUUUUUGGUUGGUGGAUCGAUCCGUCUGGUUAAUUCCGUUAACGAACGAGACCUCGGCACUCCGAAUAGCGCGGCGGACGUCGCGGCCUCCGGGCCGUCUUCCGCACGAGCUUCUUAGAGGGACCGUCCCCCCGCCGGGGAAGGAGGUGCGAGGCAACGACAGGUCUGUGAUGCCCUUAGAUGUUCUGGGCCGCACGCGCAUUACACUGACGCGUCCAACGGGUGACUCCCGACCCGAAGGGGCCGGGGAAUCCGCAAGGCGCGUCGUGAUGGGGAUUGAACGUUGCAAUUGUUGUUCACGAACGAGGAAUUCCUAGUAGGCGCGGGUCAUCAACCCGCGCCGAUUACGUCCCUGCCCUUUGUACACACCGU